RNAcentral lists this ribosomal RNA (1241 nucleotides) under metagenome. RNAcentral describes it as "bacterial LSU rRNA". It matches the Rfam family "Bacterial large subunit ribosomal RNA", at positions 1564 to 2815 of the family's 2925-position model. The record is from RNAcentral.
UGAAUACGAGAUGCUACGGCGUCGAAGCAGUCUAUGUCAUACUUCCAAGAAAAGCUUGCACUGUCAUAAACAAAUAAUGCCUGUACCAUAACCGACACAGGUGGGUAGGUAGAGUAUACUAAGGGGCGCGAGAUAACUCUCUCUAAGGAACUCGGCAAAAUGACUCCGUAACUUCGGGAGAAGGAGUGCCUUAUUUAUAAGGUUGCAAUAACAAGAUCCAAGCAACUGUUUACCAAAAACACAGGUCUCCGCUAAGUCGUAAGACGAUGUAUGGGGGCUGACGCCUGCCCAGUGCCAGAAGGUUAAAGAAGUUGGUUAGCAUCCGCGAAGCUGAUAACUGAAGCCCUGGUGAACGGCGGCCGUAACUAUAACGGUCCUAAGGUAGCGAAAUUCCUUGUCGGGUAAGUUCCGACCCGCACGAAAGGCGUAAUGAUUUGGAUACUGUCUCGGAGAGGGGCUCGGUGAAAUAGACUUGUCUGUGAAGAUGCGGACUACCUGCACCAGGACAGAAAGACCCUAUGAAGCUUUACUGUAACCUGAAAUUGAAAUUGGACUUUACUUGCGCAGUAUAGGUGGGAGGCGUUGAGAAUAUUCUUGCGGGAUUAUUGGAGCCAUCAGUGAGAUACCACUCUUGUAAUGUUAGAUUUCUAACUUUGUAUCAUUAUCUGGUCAAAGAACAGUUUCAGGCGGGCAGUUUGACUGGGGCGGUCGCCUCCUAAACGGUAACGGAGGCGCACAAAGGUUUCCUCUGAACGGGUAGAAAUCGUAUCUAGAGUGUAAAGGCAUAAGGAAGCUUGACUGCGAGACCUACAAGUCGAGCAGGGACGAAAGUCGGUCUUGGUGAUCUGACGGUGCUGAGUGGAAAGGCCGUCACUCAACGGAUAAAAGUUACUCUAGGAUAACAGGCUGAUCUCCCCCAAGAGUUCACAUCGACGGGGAGGUUUGGCACCUCGAUGUCGGCUCAUCGCAUCCUGGGGCGGUAGUACGUCCCAAGGGUUGGGCUGUUCGCCCAUGAAAGCGGUACGCGAGCUGGGUUCAGAACGUCGUGAGACAGUUCGGUCCAUAUCCGGUGUAGGCGUUAGAAUAUUGGGAGGAGCCUUCUUUAGUACGAGAGGACCGAGAAGGACAUACCUCUGGUGUACCAGUUAUCGUGCCAACGGUAAACGCUGGGUAGCUAUGUGUGGAGUGGAUAACCGCUGAAAGCACCUAAGUGGGAAGCCCACCUCAAGAUAAGUAUUCUC